Molecule: non-coding RNA, 93 nt
Organism: Mycena olivaceomarginata
Lineage: Eukaryota; Fungi; Basidiomycota; Agaricomycetes; Agaricales; Mycenaceae
Source: the annotation of a GenBank genome assembly
GUACCCUUGGUGUACGGUAACACACGUCUUACGUCUGCUUCGUCACAAAGAAGGAUUUGAGACGAACCCGGGGUUCGAGUCCCCGAGGGUGCA